This 253-nucleotide ribosomal RNA is filed under the name uncultured bacterium. RNAcentral's name for it is "partial 16S ribosomal RNA". It matches the Rfam family "Bacterial small subunit ribosomal RNA", at positions 524 to 776 of the family's 1533-position model. The record is from RNAcentral.
UACGGAGGGUGCAAGCGUUAUCCGGAUUUACUGGGUUUAAAGGGUGCGUAGGCGGACAGGUAAGUCCGUGGUGAAAUCUCUGAGCUUAACUCAGAAGCUGCCAUGGAUACUAUUUGUCUUGAAUACUGUGGAGGUAAGCGGAAUAUGUCAUGUAGCGGUGAAAUGCUUAGAUAUCGGGAGGAACACCAAUGGCGAAGGCAGCUCGCUGGGACGGUACUGACGCUGAGACGCGAAAGCGUGGGGAGCAAACAGG